RNAcentral lists this ribosomal RNA (466 nucleotides) under uncultured bacterium. Its description in RNAcentral is "partial 16S ribosomal RNA". It matches the Rfam family "Bacterial small subunit ribosomal RNA", at positions 28 to 507 of the family's 1533-position model. The record is from RNAcentral.
GACGAACGCUGGCGGCGUGCUUAACACAUGCAAGUCGAACGGAAAGGCCCUGCUUGCCGGGUACUCGAGUGGCGAACGGGUGAGUAACACGUGGGUGAUCUGCCCUGCACUUCGGGAUAAGCUUGGGAAACUGGGUCUAAUACCGGAUAGGAGCCAUCUUUAGUGUGGUGGUUGGAAAGUUUUUUCGGUGUAGGAUGAGCUCGCGGCCUAUCAGCUUGUUGGUGGGGUAAUGGCCUACCAAGGCGGCGACGGGUAGCCGGCCUGAGAGGGUGUACGGCCACAUUGGGACUGAGAUACGGCCCAGACUCCUACGGGAGGCAGAAGUGGGGAAUAUUGCACAAUGGGCGCAAGCCUGAUGCAGCGACGCCGCGUGGGGGAUGAAGGCCUUCGGGUUGUAAACUCCUUUCGCUAGGGACGAAGCUUUUUUGUGACGGUACCUAGAUAAGAAGCACCGGCUAACUACGUG